Molecule: long non-coding RNA, 517 nt
Filed under: Medicago truncatula (barrel medic)
Lineage: Eukaryota; Viridiplantae; Streptophyta; Magnoliopsida; Fabales; Fabaceae
Description: long non-coding RNA (MTRU_LNC000106)
Source: RNAcentral
GUCUUUUGGCCUAACCCGAAUAUUAGGGGUGAUGAAUUGAUACAAAAAGUUAGGAUAUUCCUUCAAUAAGGAAUGCCCCAUGUAGCGGAUUAGAUUGAUCAACAGACCUUUGAUGUGAGCCUUCAAAGCGCACUAUUCACAUUUUUCAUAAUUUCUUUCACUUUCGUUUGUUUGUAAGCAACAAGAAUAUACUUUUUUCUUUUACCGUAAUAAAGAAAUGCCUUCUUCUGAUCUUCAAUUAUUAUAUACAAUAUACAAAGAAAAUAAACUUUUAAUUCGUGCAUCGUAAUAAUAAUUGGUUUGAUAUUUAGUCAUCGAGAGAAAGUUUUCAUCGAAAUGAAUAGAUUCAUACUUAAAACCAUCCACCAUUCAAUUGGACAAAAGCAAGAAUUAACAACAAAUGAUAUAUAUCAUCAAGAGUGAAGAAUUUUGCCAAUCAUGUCACAACGGUACUGAUCAGAACACUGAAUGUUGAAGAAGACAUCGAACAACUUCCAAAAUGAUCCAUCGUGAGAGG